RNAcentral lists this transfer RNA (57 nucleotides) under Ailuropoda melanoleuca (giant panda). It matches the Rfam family "tRNA", at positions 8 to 63 of the family's 71-position model. From Rfam's summary of the family: Transfer RNA (tRNA) molecules are approximately 80 nucleotides in length. Their secondary structure includes four short double-helical elements and three loops (D, anti-codon, and T loops). Lineage: Eukaryota; Metazoa; Chordata; Mammalia; Carnivora; Ursidae. The record is from Rfam by way of RNAcentral.
UGGCUCAGUUGGUAGAGCAUGUGACUCUUGAUCUCGGGGUUGUGGGUUCGAGCCCAU